UGAAGGGUUUGCUUUGCUCCACAACGUUAUACAAUAUCGUUAAAUGAAGGAGAAUGCAUGAAACAGUUACAGAAUCUAAACUAUUUUUAUUGUGCAAACUGCAAAGUAGCAAAAUAAAAGCAAACCGUAUGAAGACCUA
This is a long non-coding RNA of Etheostoma spectabile (orangethroat darter), 139 nucleotides long. RefSeq lists it as uncharacterized. Lineage: Eukaryota; Metazoa; Chordata; Actinopteri; Perciformes; Percidae. The transcript has 4 exons. The record is from RefSeq and is a predicted model, not a curated record.